GGAAUAUUGGUCAAUGGGCGCGAGCCUGAACCAGCCAAGUAGCGUGCAGGAUGACGGCCCUACGGGUUGUAAACUGCUUUUAUGCGGGGAUAAAGUGCGGCACGUGUGCCGUUUUGCAGGUACCGCAUGAAUAAGGACCGGCUAAUUCCGUGCCAGCAGCCGCGGUAAUACGGAAGGUCCGGGCGUUAUCCGGAUUUAUUGGGUUUAAAGGGAGCGCAGGCGGAAGGAUAAGCGUGACGUGAAAUGUAGCCGCUCAACGGCUGAACUGCGUCGCGAACUGUUUUUCUUGAGUGAGUACGACGUCAGCGGAAUUCGUGGUGUAGCGGUGAAAUGCUUAGAUAUCACGAAGAACCCCGAUUGCGAAGGCAGCUGACGAGUCCUUUACUGACGCUAAAGCUCGAAGGUGCGGGUAUCGAACA
RNAcentral lists this ribosomal RNA (419 nucleotides) under uncultured Prevotella sp. RNAcentral's name for it is "bacterial SSU rRNA". It matches the Rfam family "Bacterial small subunit ribosomal RNA", at positions 358 to 774 of the family's 1533-position model. The record is from RNAcentral. Lineage: Bacteria; Pseudomonadati; Bacteroidota; Bacteroidia; Bacteroidales; Prevotellaceae.